GCUGGGUGUAGUGGUGCACACCUGUAAUCCCAGUAUCUGGGGAGGCUGAGGCAGGCGGAUUGCAAGUUCAAGGCCAGACUCAGUAAAAUUAGUGAGGCUCUAAGCAACUUAGUGAGACUCUAUCUCAA
Molecule: small RNA, 128 nt
Filed under: Marmota monax (woodchuck)
Lineage: Eukaryota; Metazoa; Chordata; Mammalia; Rodentia; Sciuridae
Source: RNAcentral